This 560-nucleotide ribosomal RNA is filed under the name uncultured bacterium. Its description in RNAcentral is "bacterial SSU rRNA". It matches the Rfam family "Bacterial small subunit ribosomal RNA", at positions 338 to 916 of the family's 1533-position model. The record is from RNAcentral.
CCUACGGGAGGCAGCAGUAGGGAAUCUUGCGCAAUGGGCGAAAGCCUGACGCAGCCAUGCCGCGUGAAUGAUGAAGGUCUUAGGAUUGUAAAAUUCUUUCACCGGGGACGAUAAUGACGGUACCCGGAGAAGAAGCCCCGGCUAACUUCGUGCCAGCAGCCGCGGUAAUACGAAGGGGGCUAGCGUUGCUCGGAAUUACUGGGCGUAAAGGGCGCGUAGGCGGAUAGUUUAGUCAGAGGUGAAAGCCCAGGGCUCAACCUUGGAAUUGCCUUUGAUACUGGCUAUCUUGAGUAUGGAAGAGGUAUGUGGAACUCCGAGUGUAGAGGUGAAAUUCGUAGAUAUUCGGAAGAACACCAGUGGCGAAGGCGACAUACUGGUCCAUUACUGACGCUGAGGCGCGAAAGCGUGGGGAGCAAACAGGAUUAGAUACCCUGGUAGUCCACGCYGUAAACGAUGAGUGCUAGUUGUCGGCAUGCAUGCAUGUCGGUGACGCAGCUAACGCAUUAAGCACUCCGCCUGGGGAGUACGGUCGCAAGAUUAAAACUCAAAGGAAUUGACGG